CCUACGGGUGGCAGCAGUGAGGAAUAUUGGACAAUGGAGGAAACUCUGACCCAGCAACGCCGCGUGAAUGAUGAAGGUCUUCGGAUUGUAAAGUUCUUUUCUAAGGGAAGAAGAUAGUGACGGUACCUUAGUAAUAAGCCUCGGCUAACUACGUGCCAGCAGCCGCCGUAAUAAGUAGGAGGGGAGCGGUAUCCGUAAUGACUGGGCGUAAAGGGUGCGUAGGUGGGUUGGCAAGUUAGUAGCGUAACUCCCAGGCUCAACCCUGGAACUACUACUAAGACUGUUGGACUAGAGUGCAGGAGGGGCAACCGGAAUUCCUAGUGUAGCGGUGGAAUGCGUAGAUAUUAGGAGGAACACCAGUGGCGAAGGCGGGUUGCUGGACUGUAACUGACACUGAGGCACGAAAGCGUGGGGAGCAAACAGGAUUAGAUACCCGAGUAGUC
This 443-nucleotide ribosomal RNA is filed under the name uncultured bacterium. RNAcentral describes it as "partial 16S ribosomal RNA". It matches the Rfam family "Bacterial small subunit ribosomal RNA", at positions 338 to 795 of the family's 1533-position model. The record is from RNAcentral.